AGCUCACCCCUGCAGCGGGGCCACUGUCUCACUCUGCGGUGAGUACCUGCCUGCAUCUCUUAUAGGAGAGCGAGUGUCACCUGGUGAAGCCCAUGUGGUAUCUGUUUGCAGUUCAGGCACCUGAUGUUGAGAAGUCUGAGAGUGCUGGGUGGUGUGGCACGUCCUUUAAUCCCAGAGGCAGAGACAGAUCUCUGUGAGUUCAGGGCCAGCUUGGUCUACACAGCUAAUUGCAGGACAGCCUGGGCUACACCAAGAGACCCUGUCUUGAUAAACCAAGGGGCAAGGGGGGCUGAAGGCCGUAGCCAAGUACCAAUAACCAGAAGGACCCAUCCAGGUGCCAGUGGCUGUCAGGAUGUCCCGCCUCACUGGUCGGUUCAGUUUUAUUCACAUGUAAGAAUGUUUUACCUGCUCCUAUAUGUGGGUGCCAUGUGCUUUCCUGGUGCCCAGACUUCAGGAUAGUGGAUUGCCUGUAACUGGAUGGUUGUAAGCCACCAUGCAGGUGGUGCGAACAGAAACUGGGUCUUCUGUAAGAUCUUCAGGUGCUCAUAACAGUCUAACCCCCUCACUAAUUUUUCGACAGCACUAGCAAAUAUACUUAUGUAAUAGAAUAUAUGAAUAUGGUCAUGCCUCCUUCCCUUGACUUUUCCUUCUCAAGACUCCCAGUGACAGGUUCCUCCUCCACGGCCUGUCACCACACCUUGCCUUGCUGUCCACUCCUGCCUGGGCUCCCCUCUGUUCUUUGCAUCUGAUGCAGACCCUUGGCAACUGACUGCAUUCCACUCUGACAUCACCCAGAUGUCUACCUGUCCCCGAACUAUAAGACUGUGGACCCU
This 833-nucleotide long non-coding RNA is filed under the name Rattus norvegicus (Norway rat). RNAcentral describes it as "long non-coding RNA NONRATT019029". The record is from RNAcentral. Lineage: Eukaryota; Metazoa; Chordata; Mammalia; Rodentia; Muridae.